ACAUAUUCUCUUUAUAAAGAUCAUCAUUUAAAACACAUUUUUAUCAAUUAAAGUCUCCAUGCUUUCAUUCAUUUGAUCAGUAAAUAUUUUUCUGCAUUCCUGCAAUACACUUACCUCUUCACUGGGCUUUGUAAACAGAAGAAAAUUGCCUGCAAUGUACGGCUGUCAUGAAAGACCUCAUCUAACAGGCAUGGGGAUGCGGACGUGCCGACUGUACAUGAAGGCUGCGUCACCAUCAAUGCACCGCCCGCUACCUGUCCUGGGGCAGCAGACGCUCAAGGCUGCAUGGCACAGAGUGGCCCUGGCUAUGUGGUUUCCUGUGCCAGCCACACUGGAUGGCUGGGGCUUGGGCACAGUGAUAGACAAAGAGCCUCUCACCUGGGGGAUAGCAGCUGUUGGCCACUGCAAGGCAGCUUAAAGGUUGGGGGCCCAGAGAAGAACCAGCCCUAGAGAAGGGAGCAGCUGACCCUGUUGGAACUCGGGCAUCGAACAGUGUCACACACCUGAGUCCCCAGCCUGGAGCCUCUGAAGCUGACUUCUUACCUGCACGCCAUCUGGAUGCCAUCCAUUCCGCUGGGAGGAUCCAUUUUAAGCAAGUGAUGCUACCGUCUGCAGAUGGCCACUAUUUGCUUAUCUCUGCGCCAGCCAAAGAGCACCUGGGUGGCCUCCAGUGUCUUUAAGUCAUGAGUAAAGACACCGUAAACAGGCAUCAAGUUACAUUCUCCCUCAUGUCAGCAAUUAGCCCCACUCCUGUGGGUUGUCUACAGACUCCAGAUCCAUUGAUGGAGAUUUCAUCGACCUGUUCACACUGCAGCCAACACCCAGCUCCUGUGAUCCUGGAGCUUUAUAGUGAGUCCUGAUGUCAAAUUUGAGGAUCAACGAUGGGGUGAGACCUUAUGCUGUGAGACCUUAAAGCACCUACAGAGCUUUCUCACAGAGCAGGACCCUCAGGACUCUUUCCCCUGGACUCCGGUGCUGAGGAUGGCGGAAAGGGGACACCCAUGCGCUGCAUGAGUGGAAUAACAUGAUGACCACCAAGCGACUAGACCUGGCCAGUGGAGCAAUUCUGAGUGUGGGGAACUUGGUAUCAAUGUUCUUAUGGAUUUUCUAGGAAAGAAAGGGAAACAAAUUUUGAAACGGUCAUUUGUGUAUAAAUUAUAGUAAAACCUUAUUGCAGAAUGAUGUUGGCAAUGCGGAAACUGGUCACGGGGACACUUUAAACUGCACAAUUUGAUUUAAAAAAAUAACUUAUUAGAAAUAAUGAUUCAUAUAAAAAUGCAAAAUGGCAUAAAUUCUGACCAAUACACAAUAAGAGUAAAAAAAUAUGUAAAUUAAAUUGUGUAAGUUCACUCAGAAAAACAUAAUUCUGUGAGGAAAUAAAAAUAAAAUGAAUGCUAAA
Ictidomys tridecemlineatus (thirteen-lined ground squirrel) is the source of this 1399-nucleotide non-coding RNA. The record is from RefSeq and is a predicted model, not a curated record. Lineage: Eukaryota; Metazoa; Chordata; Mammalia; Rodentia; Sciuridae.